Suricata suricatta (meerkat) is the source of this 834-nucleotide long non-coding RNA. RefSeq lists it as uncharacterized. The record is from RefSeq and is a predicted model, not a curated record. The transcript has 4 exons. Lineage: Eukaryota; Metazoa; Chordata; Mammalia; Carnivora; Herpestidae.
UUUCCUUUUCUCCUUACAUCCUACAGAGCCAUUUUCAUAGUGCAUUUGACAAACUAAUGGCGAAGGCGUUGUGACUGUCAUUUGACUGUGUGGAGUCGUCAGCUGCUGGGGACUGUGCUUUGAAGUGUGUGGGUGGCUUCAAACACUUGGGGGCAAGCAGCCCUGCAGCUCUGCACCGCUGAGUGGAGGAAAUAACCAGAAAAGAAAGAAGAGGCUGUUUAUUCUGGACAGUUACCUGAGGCUGAGACAGAUGGGAACCUAGAAAAGACUGCAGAAUGGUGUCAGCGUGGAUCUGCCGGACACACCUGCGGCCACUGCUCAGAUGUUCAGCGACAGCUUCUAACAGCCUCCUCAGACAAGCAGCAAACCACAUGGAAAGUUGGCUGAUUACUGGGCGAGCCCGCACUGGUGCAGAUGAACACAUGGAGGACACACGGACGUACAACACAGACCUAAGGACAAGUGUGGGAGCCAAUGUUUUCAGGAUAAAAUCAUAGUAGAAGCCUACAGAAGAAAAAGCAAGUGCAUAUCACUUAGGAAUAACAGCCUGAGAAGAAACUGAAAUGAAAGCUCCCAGCCUGUUGGCAUUUAUUUUUCCUUCACACCCUUAAAGUUCUGAAGCCCUUGUAUUCUAUUUCCAAAACCUGUGAUUAGUGUUUUAACAUUUCCUCCAAUUUUGCUGAGUAAUCUAAUUUGACCUCCAUUUAAGAGAAAAGCCUUCUUAAUCAUUUUGUAACUUUAUUACCAUACAACAUGAAUAACAAAUGUUGAGUGAUCCUUAAUAGGAUCCUAGAUUAGAAAAAAAAAAUCUUUGACCAGGGCAUUAUUAAGACA